Molecule: long non-coding RNA, 342 nt
Filed under: Homo sapiens (human)
Lineage: Eukaryota; Metazoa; Chordata; Mammalia; Primates; Hominidae
Source: RNAcentral
CUCCGGAAGUGCGGCACCCAGAGGCGGUCCUGUAGCCGGGCCGGCUUGGGGCUUGGUUCUAUGUCCCUGCGGGUCGGUGCAAGGGCGAAGAGGAACCCGUGGGCCUCAGGGGAUCCCGGGGGGCCGGACCAGUGUUCCCUAGUUGUGGGAGCAGACGCGUGGGCACAUUGCGGGCGGGCAGGGCCUGAAGUGCAGCUAUGUUUCCAGUGUCCUCUGGGUGUUUCCAAGAGCAACAAGAAACGAAUAAAUCUCUGGCUGCAUAAGGGGAGUGAACACAAAGUACAUUUGACCACAAAAUGACUCUUUAAAAGUCAGAACUACGGUAGCAUGAAGCCAAACGAG